This 485-nucleotide unclassified non-coding RNA is filed under the name Lupinus luteus (yellow lupine). Its description in RNAcentral is "partial external transcribed spacer". The record is from RNAcentral. Lineage: Eukaryota; Viridiplantae; Streptophyta; Magnoliopsida; Fabales; Fabaceae.
UUGCCGUAUGGGAGGCGUGAAGGCACUGUCAGUCUGUAUAUGGAAGGGCGCGUGAGUGGAAAUUGGGCCGUUUGUGCUGUCUGGCUCCAUGAUCAUGGUCAUCGAACUUUCAGCACACAACCCUUCUCAUGUUCGCCUUGGUCAUUUCGGCCCCCGGCGUUCAAUUAUGGUUCUUGUGUUGCCUACCGGUUGAGUGGUAUUCAUGUGCCUCUUAUGACCCGUUCCAUCCAGGCCCCUUCUAAAGGUCGUUGGAGGAUUCAAAAGGAAUGCGUGUGAUGUGUUACCUGUGAAUUGUAAUGGCUUGCGUUCUCACACGUGUCUAGUGUUCCCUUGAAUGCGGUGCAUGCGGCAAAUGCGGGCUAAUAAGUCUGCCCCGUUAAGUCCCUUUAAUUUUUGGGUUCCCUUGAAUAACACUUUGCCGUGGUGUCGGUCUUGCUUAACCGUUCGGGGUGGCAACACUUGCACGUCAAGCAAAGGCGUUAAUG